Molecule: ribosomal RNA, 454 nt
Filed under: uncultured bacterium
Lineage: Bacteria
Description: partial 16S ribosomal RNA
Rfam family: Bacterial small subunit ribosomal RNA
Source: RNAcentral
GAUGAACGCUGACAGAAUGCUUAACACAUGCAAGUCCACUUGAACUUCGGUUUGGGUGGCGGACGGGUGAGUAACGCGUAAAGAACUUGCCUCACAGCUAGGGACAACAUUUGGAAACGAAUGCUAAUACCUGAUAUUAUGAUUUUAGGGCAUCCUAGAAUUAUGAAAGCUAUAUGCGCUGUGAGAGAGCUUUGCGUCCCAUUAGCUAGUUGGAGAGGUAACGGCUCACCAAGGCGAUGAUGGAUAGCCGGCCUGAGAGGGUGAACGGCCACAAGGGGACUGAGACACGGCCCUUACUCCUACGGGAGGCAGCAGUGGGGAAUAUUGGACAAUGGACCAAGAGUCUGAUCCAGCAAUUCUGUGUGCACGAUGAAGUUUUUCGGAAUGUAAAGUGCUUUCAGUUGGGAAGAAAAAAAUGACGGUACCAACAGAAGAAGUGACGGCUAAAUACGUG